Molecule: ribosomal RNA, 454 nt
Filed under: Bacteroides acidifaciens
Lineage: Bacteria; Pseudomonadati; Bacteroidota; Bacteroidia; Bacteroidales; Bacteroidaceae
Description: bacterial LSU rRNA
Rfam family: Bacterial large subunit ribosomal RNA
Source: RNAcentral
AAGAAAGUAAGCAAGGGCGCAUGGCGGAUGCCUUGGCUCUCGGAGGCGAUGAAGGACGUGAUAAGCUGCGAUAAGCUUCGGGAAGGUGCAAAUAACCAUUGAUCCGAAGAUUUCCGAAUGGGACAACCCGGCAUUCUGAAGGAAUGUCAUCCAACUAAGUUGGAAGCUAACGCAGGGAACUGAAACAUCUUAGUACCUGCAGGAAAAGAAAAUAAUAAUGAUUCCCCAAGUAGUGGCGAGCGAACGGGGAUUAGCCCAAACCAAUUUUGUUACGGCAAAAUUGGGGUUGUAGGACCACGAUAUCGCAAGAAAUUUGGUGAGAAGAAUUCUUUGGAAAAUGAAACCAUAGAGGGUGAUAGUCCCGUAUUCGAAGCCAAACGAAGCGUAGUGGUAUCCUGAGUAGCGCGGGACACGAGAAAUCUUGCGUGAAUCCGCCGGGACCAUCCGGUAAGGC